This 493-nucleotide ribosomal RNA is filed under the name uncultured bacterium. RNAcentral's name for it is "bacterial SSU rRNA". It matches the Rfam family "Bacterial small subunit ribosomal RNA", at positions 8 to 518 of the family's 1533-position model. The record is from RNAcentral.
AGGGUUCGAUUCUGGCUCAGGAUGAACGCUGGCGGCGUGCUUAAUACAUGCAAGUCGAACGGAGAAUGUAGCAAUACGUUCUUAGUGGCGAGCGGGUGAGUAACGCGUUGGUGACCUGCCUCGAAGAGAGGGAUAACAGUCCGAAAGGAUUGCUAAUACCUCAUGUGAUUGUAGGGUUUAGAAGCUUACAAUUAAAGGAGUAAUUCACUUCGAGAGGGACCUGCGUACCAUCAGCUAGUUGGUGAGGUAACGGCCCACCAAGGCGAUGACGGUUAGGGGACCUGAGAGGGUGGCCCCCCACAAUGGAACUGAAACACGGUCCAUACACCUACGGGUGGCAGCAGUAGGGAAUAUUAGUUAAUGUGCGAAAGCGCGAACUUAAGCAACGCCGCGUGUGCGAUGAAGGCCUUCGGGUUGUAAAGCACUUUUCUAAGGGAUGAGGAAGGACAGUACCUCAGGAAUAAGCAUCGGCUAACUACGUGCCAGCCGCCGC